Molecule: ribosomal RNA, 173 nt
Filed under: Pseudomonas sp.
Lineage: Bacteria; Pseudomonadati; Pseudomonadota; Gammaproteobacteria; Pseudomonadales; Pseudomonadaceae
Description: partial 16S ribosomal RNA
Rfam family: Bacterial small subunit ribosomal RNA
Source: RNAcentral
AAACCGAUCGUAGUCCGGAUCGCAGUCUGCAACUCGACUGCGUGAAGUCGGAAUCGCUAGUAAUCGUGAAUCAGAAUGUCGCGGUGAAUACGUUCCCGGGCCUUGUACACACCGCCCGUCACACCAUGGGGAGUGGGUUGCACACAAGAAGUAGCGUAGUCUAACCUUCUGGA